Strongylocentrotus purpuratus (purple sea urchin) is the source of this 1262-nucleotide long non-coding RNA. RefSeq lists it as uncharacterized. The transcript has 2 exons. The record is from RefSeq and is a predicted model, not a curated record. NCBI's taxonomy places the organism in Eukaryota, Metazoa, Echinodermata, Echinoidea, Camarodonta, Strongylocentrotidae.
AACUGACAAUUAAAAAAUACAUCUAGCAAUCUGACUUAAGUUUAUUAUUUUAACAAAUUCAUUAAUGUAGUUAAAACGUUUGCAAUUAUUAUUAGGGGAAAGCAGGAGUUGAAAACUUAUUUUCAUUUGGCCAUUUAUCAAUGGUGUGUACAUUAGAAAUUGUGCAACAGCUUGAAAUAUCAUAAAGAAGGUCAUACCUACAGGCCCCAUAUACAUAUACAUAUACACACAUACACACACACAAACGCACGUACUACACACAGCCAAUCCUUUGGAACCGUUGUGCAAUAUAACCCCGCAUAUUUUGAAUGGCUAGCUAUGUGUACUGUGUACGUGUCAAAGGAUCGCUGUACAAAGCUUGCAUUGGGAAUAGUGCACGCACAAGCUACACUAUAGCUACUGUGUGCAUUAUAAAUUCACAAUGUAGCUUUGCCUAGACAGGAGCUAGACUGAAUCUUGGUGUUUUCUCUGCAAAAUAAUGCUGAAUAUUGAGUUUUCCUGCUAAUCUACAACAGUAUGGAUAUAGACGCAACAUGACAAAUGAGUAGUUUCCAUAUCGACCUCGUUCUUUAUUAUCAUCUUCACCAAUAUACAUCGACGCCACUAUCACCAUGUCUUUGACGUCGACCUCCGUUUUCGCGUUUGAACUUUGAAGAUUGUUGCGAACUGUAAUAAUGAAUUGGAUAUUGGCAUUAUCGACGUUUGUUCUGUCUUUGAACACUAGUCUCAUCGAACUUUGAUUAAAGGUAAGAACCUCCUUUUUACCUUCUUCGAUUUGCGUUUCGUCGUUUGCAGGUCUGAUCCUAUACCGCGUUUCACCAUCGCCGAACACGGACUCCGCAUCCGAUCGACAUCGCCGACUCUUGACUUUCGUUCAUCAUUCAUUUUUGAACUGUACUAUGAUCACCGACAUCAUCUACGAUCUGCCAAGAAGGCCUAGUCACCAAUUGUUUCUUCAAAUGUCAUCUUUCGACUGAAUUCGAGUACGACAUCGUCAACGAAUCUCGCACCUCCGCUGGAAGGACAGUUUUUUAUAAUGUACUAUGUAAUUUGAAUAUGAGCGGCAGUCUUCCGCUAUAGAAAUAGACUAACCACUUUAAGAUAUUGUUGUGUGCUGAAAAUGUUUAGUGUCCUGUAUAAUGAUGUUACAAGCGGCAGUCUUCGCUAUAGAAAUAGACUUCAGUUUUCGACUGUAAAUUGUUUUAUAUAUUUUACGCGAGCUAGAUUUUAGCUUGUUUGAAUAAACGUUUUUUUAAAGUAAA